UUCCGGUUGAUCCUGCCGGAGGACCUUGCUAUUGGGAUUCGAUUUAGCCAUGCUAGUCGAGCGAGUUCAGACUCGCGGCGAAUAGCUCAGUAACACGUGGCCAAGCUCCCCUUCAGUCAGCGAUACCCUCGGGAAACUGAGGUUAACAGCUGAUACACAACGCCAGCUGGGAUGCGGCGUUUCAGAAAGACAUCGCUGAAGGAUGCGGCUGCGGCCGAUUAGGUAGACGGUGGGGUAACGGCCCACCGUGCCAGUAAUCGGUACGGGUGAUGAGAGUCAGAGCCCGGAGACGGAAUCUGAGACAAGAUUCCGGGCCCUACGGGGCGCAGCAGGCGCGAAACCUUUACACUGCACGGAAGCGCGAUAGGGGAAUCCCAAGUGCGAGGGCAUAUUAGCCCUCGCUUUUCUCGACUGUACGGUGGUCGACGAAUAAGAGCUGGGCAAGACCGGUGCCAGCCGCCGCGGUAAUACCGGCAGCUCAAGUGAUGUCCCAUAUUAUUGGGCCUAAAGCGUCCGUAGCUGGCCGACCAAGUCUACCGGGAAAUCCACCCGCCCAACGGGUGGGCGUCCGGUAGAAACUGGCCGGCUUGGAACCGGAAGGCUCAGAGAGUACGUCCGGGGUAGGAGUGAAAUCCCGUAAUCCCGGACGGACUACCGAUGGCGAAAGCACUCUGAGAAGACGGCUUCGACAGUGAGGGACGAAAGCUCGGGUCUCAAACCGGAUUAGAUACCCCGGUAGUC
This 741-nucleotide ribosomal RNA is filed under the name uncultured archaeon. RNAcentral describes it as "bacterial SSU rRNA". It matches the Rfam family "Archaeal small subunit ribosomal RNA", at positions 1 to 746 of the family's 1478-position model. The record is from RNAcentral.